RNAcentral lists this long non-coding RNA (4332 nucleotides) under Equus caballus (horse). Its description in RNAcentral is "lncRNA (ENSECAG00000056392.1)". Lineage: Eukaryota; Metazoa; Chordata; Mammalia; Perissodactyla; Equidae. The record is from RNAcentral.
CACACAGGGAGAAUGCCAUGCGAUGACAGAGGCAGAGACUGGAGUGAUGCUUCUACAGGUGAAAAAACUCCAAGGACUGCUGGCAACCAGCAGACGCUAGGGAGAGACCAUCUACUUCUGGCUUGAAACCACCAUUAUUGAAAUAAUGAGGGCUGGGAUGCAGAGCAGAAGGAUGAGGUUUGAACCUAACUUCUCUGACCUUCUCACUAGGAAAUGAUCCUCCACCUGUUCUUCCUACCCCUGGAAAUUGUGCAAAUGAUACCAGCACACUGCCACUGGCUUUGAUCCACCUCUUCAACUCUCAUCGGUUAAGAGUCGAGGUGUGAUACUUAAUAAUAGCUUAAAGGGCCAUCAGUCAGAGAGAGAUGCUCAUUGGGGUGAGAGGCCAGGCGAUGAAGAUGCACACCCCAGCCUCCACCACCUACUGAGACCCCGAGAGUCUGUGGUGGUCUGUGUUCUCAGGCGGAUGUGGCCAUGACAGCCAGUGGUUGCUGAGGGAACAGCGCGGCUCUGCUCCUCUUGGUUCUUGCAUUAUUCCACGUUUCAGUUCUAUUCAAAGGAAAGUGUGCGAAAUUUCCCUGUUCUUCCCCCACGGAGCUACAAAUGCGGCUGGGUGAGAGGGUUGCCAGGAAAAUCCGGGGAACGAUGACAGGAGAAGGCCACAGCCGUUCCGGGUGGAAAAGUUCUCCAGUGGGCUGCUCAGAACAGAUGGCAGAUAAUUGACAUCUGAUGGCAAAGUCCUGCCCCAAGAGCGAGCGUCCCAACCUCAGGGACCAGCUGGGGGAUGCUGUGCUUGGAACCAAGAACAGAGCCUGGGCUGCAAUUCACCCAAGAACGCCUGUUCCCAGGGCCCGGAAGCCCAGGCUUCCACGCCGCCCGCUCAAACCUCUGAUGGUCUAGAUUUCUUAACAGCAGUGCACAAGGAUUCUUCGGGCUGAAUACAGGCUACACUUGGUCCCUUUAUUUCUUUCUGGUGAAAGCUCAGCAUCUGUUUUAUGAAAAAAUCAAACGACAGGAGGGGAAGUUAAGGGAGAAGAGGGAAGGAAAAGGACCAGCACUAGAUUGCCAUUGAUUGCUUUGGAUGAAAGAACAAUAUUGCUCCUGAGAGUGGGGUAUCAAAAUUGUGCUUAGACCAAAAAAUAUUGAAAACACUUGUUGCUUUUAUGGGGCUACUAAACACACAUCCACGGGAUGAAACCACUGUCUCCUGGGGAGGAGCUGAAAGCCAUUCCCUUCUCAGAGCUCUUCUUGAUGCCUCCCUCAGGAGGAACGUGCACCCCUCCUUUGUGCUUCCCUCGCCCCGGCCCCUGUCCCCUGCCUCAGGACAGGCUGAGUCACCUGUGCAGCUCAGCAGUGGACCCUCAGUGACUCUUCUGAUCUCGUCACUUCUGAGAAGAUGGAGGAAUUUCCAUGUCUCUGCCCACAGCAAUCAAAGGAGGCUGCCACCAAGAAAUCAAGGAAACAAAGAGAAGGUAUUCAGCAUUCAUUUUUAAAAUAUAUGUGCGACACCCAUUAGGAUGGCUAUUACUUAACCAAAAAAAACAGAAAUUAGUAAAUGUUGAUGAAGAUGUGGCGAAAUUGGAACCCUCGGGCAUUGCUGGUAGGAAUGUAAAAAGGUUCAGCUGCUGUGGAAAAUAGCAUGGUAGUUCCUCAAAAAAUUAACCAUAGAAUUACCAUAUGAUCCAGCAAUUCCACUUCUGAGUACAUGCCCAAAAGAAGGGAAAGCAAGGUCUCGAAGAGAUAUUUGUAGCCCCUCGUUCACAGCAGCAUUAUUCACAGCAGCCAAAAGGUGGAAGCAACCCAAGUGUCCAUCAAUUGAUGAAUGAAUAAACAAAAUAUGGAUACACAUACAAUGGAAUAUUAUUCAGCUUUGAAAAGGAAAGAAAUUCUGACACAUGCUGCAACGUGGAUAAACCUUGAAAACAUUAUGCUGAGUAUAAUAAGCUGUCAAAAAAGGACAAAUACUCUAUGAUUUCACUAUAUGAGAUACCUAGAAUUGUCAGAUUCAUAGAGAGAGAAAAUAGAGUGGCGGUUGCCACGGGCUGGGAGGAGGGGGGAAAGAGGAGCUAUUAUUUAACGGGCACAGCGUUUGUUUGAGAAGAUGAAGAGUUCUGGAGAUGGAUGGUGGUAAUGGUUGCACGGCAAAGUGAGUGCACUUAACGCCACUGAGCUGUACACUUAAAGAUGGUUAAAGUGGAACAUUUUAUGUUAUGAAUAUUUUAUCAUGAUAAAAAUAAAGCCAUAUAUGUUCAACUGCCUAAAGCCCUUUGCAUUUGAACUUGGGUGGGAAGGAAUCUGCUAGCUGGGUCACUGAUCCCCCUUCCGUCCCUUUCCUGGCUGAGGAGGAGUGGAAGAAUGCAGGAAGCCAGAGGCCUGACCGCCAGCCCAAGGGCCACCCCAGCACAGAGGAUAGAGGAAGAAUCUCUCAUCCUCCCUCUUACAGACUCAGAGAAGUUAACUAACCUGCCCAGGUGACCCAGGUACUAAGCGGGGAUAGGGUGACAAUGGGACCUGAAGCCAGGUUGGUAUUCUGAAGCUGUUGAUCCUGCCACAGGCCCUACUGGUCCCCUCCUGUAAAAUACAUGACCCUUUCCCGAAACCCCUUGCAAAGGUACCCACUUCCCACCAUUUGCAUCAUCUCCCUAAAGGCUUCCUGAGUUCAAGUGCGUUUUUACUGGGUGAGUAAUCUAUGCAACUACAGGCCCCAAGUUGUGCAGUACGCAGCCUGCCCAGCUGAAUGCUGGAGCCCUUGUUAACACUUUAUGUUACUUGAGAAAGGUAAUACAAUAGUUCACCAACCUGUGAACAGGAUUCCUUUACUGCAGACAGUUCUCUGGCAGAAAAACAGGCCCUGCCCUAAAUGACUAGGACAUAGGACUGGCAAGCUUGGAUGACAAGGGGCAGGAGGAAGGGUGAGGUGACACCAAAACAAGCACUGCCACUGUGAGUGCCUAUGCAGACUGGCAACAUGGUGACAGAGUGCUCCCUGGCAUCAGUGCCUGCUUUUAGAUCUGACAUGAAACCCCCAGUGGCUUCUGUGCCCUGGGCUUCUCAAUUCAUUCAUUGGAUUUCAACAGAAUUUCCAAACGUUGCCAGUCUGCCCCUGCCCAAAUCCUAGCACUAGCAAAUCUGAACCUGGACAGCUCCAAGGACACCAAAUGAUCUGGCGGUGACCUGUGUGCAACCAGACGUGAAGGGGACGUGGCUGGAUGGCAGCUGUUCUUAAAAGGAAAACGAACCUCCUUGAAGACAAACAAGGGGACAAAUGCUGUGGGGAGGUUCCCAGGCUGGGAGGAUCAGGUGGCUGAUGCCACCAAGCCCCCAGUCCCAGGGGCUCGAGAAAGAGAGAGGAAGGUGGCCAAUGAGCAGCCUGGGGGACCUGAGAGCGGGAAGCUGUCCCCGAGGAAAUCAGGGACAAGGAUUAAGGCGAGGCUAAGAGCAUAAGCCACAUACCACUUAUGACACCUCCCGGUCUACAUGGGGGUGACAUUGGGAAUAUCGCUUAACCUCUCUGAGCUACAGUUUCCUUAACAAAAUAGGGAAAUAUCUACCGCAGGAGGUUGUUAUGAGCAUUCAGUGAGAACGCAUAUAACACCUGGCACAUAGUAAAAACCCUGUGGUUCUUAAAAUGGUUUCUAGGUCUCCUUCACACAACCGCUAACCAUGAGUGCAGUACUCAAGGCCAUGGGGCUGCGCUUCAGAGAAAAGGCAGCCCAGCCCAGGACACCUUGACCCUGAGGAUGCUGGAAGAGGUCCUUUAAACUGAACAGACUCUGAAAUCCUCAGUCUGGUGUCUGGGUUACAAAAUGUGAGCCCUGGCCCACUUGGCAGCCCCUGAGAGAGCACUGAUUUUUCCCUCUUCUUCCAACGGGGCACAGACGGUUACAUGACCGUCCUUUCUGCUAACCAGUUCAGGAAAGCUACAACAGUCUCCAGUUUUUUUGAAAAAAUAGAAGCUGUUAAAGAAAAUGUUUCACUCCCAGACACAGUACAGCUUACAACCCAAAGCGCACGAGCUUUAAUUUCAGACAAGACAUUUCAGUAUGAGGAGCAGCAGGGAGAGGCUGUGAAUUUUGCAUAUGUUGGAUGCCAUUCUCCCACUGCUUGAGUUAGGACUCAGGAAUUUCCUUUGCCAAGUAGGCAAAUGGGGUAUAUAAGGCUGGAGUUGCCCACCUGGGAGCCACUGGCCUGUGGAGUGGACAAGACUCCCGACCGAGAGGCUGUGUGGUAGACAGAGGGGAGACGUGAGGGCCAAGCUGUGGAAGCAGACUUGGUUUCUGCUCCUACAUCCACAAUGACCUUAAUUGAUACAACAACUUUAAGGCACUGGGG